RNAcentral lists this ribosomal RNA (800 nucleotides) under uncultured bacterium. RNAcentral describes it as "bacterial SSU rRNA". It matches the Rfam family "Bacterial small subunit ribosomal RNA", at positions 8 to 827 of the family's 1533-position model. The record is from RNAcentral.
AGAGUUUGAUCCUGGCUCAGGACGAACGCUGGCGGCGUGCCUAACACAUGCAAGUCGAGCGAUGAAGCCCUUCGGGGUGGAUUAGCGGCGGACGGGUGAGUAACACGUGGGUAACCUGCCUCAAAGAGGGGGAUAGCCUCCCGAAAGGGAGAUUAAUACCGCAUAACAUUGGUUUUUCGCAUGAAGAACUAAUUAAAGGAGCAAUCCGCUUUGAGAUGGACCCGCGGCGCAUUAGCUAGUUGGUGAGGUAACGGCUCACCAAGGCGACGAUGCGUAGCCGACCUGAGAGGGUGAUCGGCCACAUUGGAACUGAGACACGGUCCAGACUCCUACGGGAGGCAGCAGUGGGGAAUAUUGCACAAUGGGCGAAAGCCUGAUGCAGCAACGCCGCGUGAGUGAUGAAGGCCUUCGGGUUGUAAAGCUCUGUCUUUUGGGACGAUAAUGACGGUACCAAAGGAGGAAGCCACGGCUAACUACGUGCCAGCAGCCGCGGUAAUACGUAGGUGGCGAGCGUUGUCCGGAUUUACUGGGCGUAAAGGAUGCGUAGGCGGAUGUUUAAGUGAGAUGUGAAAUACCCGGGCUUAACUUGGGUGCUGCAUUUCAAACUGGACAUCUAGAGUGCGGGAGAGGAGAAUGGAAUUCCUAGUGUAGCGGUGAAAUGCGUAGAGAUUAGGAAGAACACCAGUGGCGAAGGCGAUUCUCUGGACCGUAACUGACGCUGAGGCAUGAAAGCGUGGGUAGCAAACAGGAUUAGAUACCCUGGUAGUCCACGCCGUAAACGAUGAGUACUAGGUGUAGGA